UACGAAGGGUGCUAGCGUUGUUCGGAAUUACUGGGCGUAAAGAGUGCGUAGGCGGCUAUACAAGUCAGGGGUGAAAUCCCGGAGCUUAACUCCGGAACUGCCUUUGAAACUGUAUAGCUGGAGUGUUUGAGGGGAUAGCGGAAUUCCUAAUGUAGAGGUGAAAUUCGUAGAUAUUAGGAGGAACACCGGUGGCGAAGGCGGCUAUCUGGCAAACAACUGACGCUGAGGCACGAAAGCGUGGGGAUCAAACAGG
This 253-nucleotide ribosomal RNA is filed under the name uncultured bacterium. RNAcentral's name for it is "partial 16S ribosomal RNA". It matches the Rfam family "Bacterial small subunit ribosomal RNA", at positions 524 to 776 of the family's 1533-position model. The record is from RNAcentral.